Molecule: ribosomal RNA, 611 nt
Filed under: Vibrio sp.
Lineage: Bacteria; Pseudomonadati; Pseudomonadota; Gammaproteobacteria; Vibrionales; Vibrionaceae
Description: bacterial SSU rRNA
Rfam family: Bacterial small subunit ribosomal RNA
Source: RNAcentral
GAUGCAGCCAUGCCGCGUGUAUGAAGAAGGCCUUCGGGUUGUAAAGUACUUUCAGCAGUGAGGAAGGUGGUGUCGUUAAUAGCGGCAUCAUUUGACGUUAGCUGCAGAAGAAGCACCGGCUAACUCCGUGCCAGCAGCCGCGGUAAUACGGAGGGUGCGAGCGUUAAUCGGAAUUACUGGGCGUAAAGCGCAUGCAGGUGGUUUGUUAAGUCAGAUGUGAAAGCCCGGGGCUCAACCUCGGAAUUGCAUUUGAAACUGGCAGACUAGAGUACUGUAGAGGGGGGUAGAAUUUCAGGUGUAGCGGUGAAAUGCGUAGAGAUCUGAAGGAAUACCGGUGGCGAAGGCGGCCCCCUGGACAGAUACUGACACUCAGAUGCGAAAGCGUGGGGAGCAAACAGGAUUAGAUACCCUGGUAGUCCACGCCGUAAACGAUGUCUACUUGGAGGUUGUGGCCUUGAGCCGUGGCUUUCGGAGCUAACGCGUUAAGUAGACCGCCUGGGGAGUACGGUCGCAAGAUUAAAACUCAAAUGAAUUGACGGGGGCCCGCACAAGCGGUGGAGCAUGUGGUUUAAUUCGAUGCAACGCGAAGAACCUUACCUACUCUUGACAUC